AACUAAUAAGCUUUAAGAAGCACAUGUUUUGAAAGCAUGAGAUAAAGGCGACCUUUAUUAGUUU
Molecule: transfer RNA, 64 nt
Filed under: Euphaea formosa
Lineage: Eukaryota; Metazoa; Arthropoda; Insecta; Odonata; Euphaeidae
Description: tRNA-Ser
Source: RNAcentral